UACAGAGGGGGCGAGCGUUGUUCGGAAUUACUGGGCGUAAAGGGCGCGUAGGCGGCCCGCUAAGUCGAACGUGAAAUCCCCAGGCUCAACCUGGGAACUGCGUCCGAUACUGGCAGGCUUGAAUCCGGGAGAGGGAUGUGGAAUUCCAGGUGUAGCGGUGAAAUGCGUAGAUAUCUGGAGGAACACCGGUGGCGAAGGGGCCCCAUUGGUACGUAACUGACGCUGAGGCACGAAAGCGUGGGGAGCAAACAGG
This 253-nucleotide ribosomal RNA is filed under the name uncultured bacterium. RNAcentral's name for it is "partial 16S ribosomal RNA". It matches the Rfam family "Bacterial small subunit ribosomal RNA", at positions 524 to 776 of the family's 1533-position model. The record is from RNAcentral.